Molecule: ribosomal RNA, 622 nt
Filed under: Marinobacter sp. BBT06
Lineage: Bacteria; Pseudomonadati; Pseudomonadota; Gammaproteobacteria; Pseudomonadales; Marinobacteraceae
Description: partial 16S ribosomal RNA
Source: RNAcentral
UAAGACUGUUAGGUACGUACCAUGCAGUCGAGCGGUAACAGGGGGAGCUUGCUCCCCGCUGACGAGCGGCGGACGGGUGAGUAAUGCUUAGGAAUCUGCCCAGUAGCGGGGGAUAGCCCGGGAAACCGCGGAUUAAUGCCUAUUACGCCCACGGGGGAAAAGGGGGUGCCCUUCGGCCCCUCGCCUGAACAAGUGGGAUAUUCCCGGAUGGGAUUGGGGGGGUAAAGACUCAACGGCCACCCAACCGACGCUGCCAAAUAGGUCAGAUAAACACAUCAGCACUGGAACAACUGCCCAUAUCCCCCCCUCGUACUGGAGGGGCUGAUGGAAAUAGGGCACCACCCUAAACGCCCCAUGCCCCGUGGCGCGUGCGGAAUUGGCCUUCGGCUUUUAUUGUUUUUAAGGCAUGCGGAUAGUUAAACGUUGAAGAUAUGACAUUUGAAGAUAAGACCACCAAUUUCUCCUUGCCCCCUGCCACCGUAUCCGGAGGGUGCACGUUAUUAUCGUAACUUUUGGCCGUUUAGCGCACAUAGGGGCGUGCUUUCCUUUUGUCAAAAACCAAGUGCGAACCUGAACUUUCAUUCAAUUGAAGUUUCAACGUGAUACGAGGCUGGAUUCCCCU